RNAcentral lists this ribosomal RNA (456 nucleotides) under uncultured bacterium. RNAcentral's name for it is "bacterial SSU rRNA". It matches the Rfam family "Bacterial small subunit ribosomal RNA", at positions 94 to 526 of the family's 1533-position model. The record is from RNAcentral.
AGUGGCGCCCGGGUGAGUAACACGUGGGUAAUCUUCCUUCGAAUUGGGGAUAACGUUGCGAAAGCGACGCUAAUACCGAAUGACAUCAUUUGGUCCUCGGACCUUUUGAUCAAAGGUGGCCUCUUCAUGAAAGCUACUGUUCGAAGAUGAGCCCGCGCCCCAUUAGCUUGUUGGUAGGGUAACGGCCUACCAAGGCGACGAUGGGUAGCUGGUCUGAGAGGAUGAUCAGCCACACUGGAACUGACACACGGUCCAGACUCCUACGGGAGGCAGCAGUGAGGAAUUUUGCGCAAUGGGCGAAAGCCUGACGCAGCAACGCCGCGUGAGUGAUGAAGGCCUUCGGGUUGUAAAGCUCUGUCAAGUGGGAAGAACCCAUGUGGUGAUAAUACCACCGCAUGCUGACGGUACCACUGAAGGAAGCACCGGCUAACUCCGUGCCAGCAGCCGCGGUAAUAC